Molecule: ribosomal RNA, 253 nt
Filed under: uncultured bacterium
Lineage: Bacteria
Description: partial 16S ribosomal RNA
Rfam family: Bacterial small subunit ribosomal RNA
Source: RNAcentral
UACGUAGGUGGCAAGCGUUGUCCGGAUUUACUGGGUGUAAAGGGCGUGUAGCCGGGCUGACAAGUCAGAUGUGAAAUCCGGGGGCUCAACCCCCGAACUGCAUUUGAAACUGUUGGUCUUGAGUAUCGGAGAGGCAGGCGGAAUUCCUAGUGUAGCGGUGAAAUGCGUAGAUAUUAGGAGGAACACCAGUGGCGAAGGCGGCCUGCUGGACGACAACUGACGGUGAGGCGCGAAAGCGUGAGGAGCAAACAGG